CCUACGGGUGGCAGCAGUGAGGAAUAUUGGUCAAUGGACGCAAGUCUGAACCAGCCAUGCCGCGUGCAGGAAGACGGCUCUAUGAGUUGUAAACUGCUUUUGUACGAGGGUAAACGCAGAUACGCGUAUCUGUCUGAAAGUAUCGUACGAAUAAGGAUCGGCUAACUCCGUGCCAGCAGCCGCGGUAAUACGGAGGAUUCAAGCGUUAUCCGGAUUAAUUGGGUUUAAAGGGUGCGUAGGCGGUCGGAUAAGUUAGAGGUGAAAUCCCGAGGCUCAACUUCGGAAUUGCCUCUGAUACUGUUCGGCUAGAGAGUAGUUGCGGUAGGCGGAAUGUAUGGUGUAGCAGUGAAAUGCUUAGAGAUCAUACAGAACACCGAUUGCGAAGGCAGCUGACCAAGCUACUUCUGACGUUGAGGCACAAAAGCGUGGGGAGCAAACAGGAUUAGAUACCCGUGUAGUC
This 460-nucleotide ribosomal RNA is filed under the name uncultured bacterium. RNAcentral's name for it is "partial 16S ribosomal RNA". It matches the Rfam family "Bacterial small subunit ribosomal RNA", at positions 338 to 795 of the family's 1533-position model. The record is from RNAcentral.